UCUUGAGUUGUCAUAAUCAAU
This 21-nucleotide non-coding RNA is filed under the name Caenorhabditis elegans. The record is from RNAcentral. Lineage: Eukaryota; Metazoa; Nematoda; Chromadorea; Rhabditida; Rhabditidae.